UUAAGCAUAUCAAUAAGCGGAGGAAAAGAAACUAACAAGGAUUCCCCUAGUAACUGCGAGUGAAGCGGGAAGAGCUCAAAUUUGAAAUCUGGCAGUCCUUGACUGUCCGAGUUGUAAUCUAGAGAAGUGUUACCUGUGCUGGACCAUGUAAAAGUCUCCUGGAAUGGAGCAUCACAGAGGGUGAGAAUCCCGUCUUUGACAUGGACUGCCUGUGCGUUAUGGUGCGCUCUCAAAGAGUCGAGUUGUUUGGGAAUGCAGCUCAAAAUGGGUGGUAAAUGCCAUCUAAAGCUAAAUAUUGGCGAGAGACCGAUAGCGAACAAGUACCGUGAGGGAAAGAUGAAAAGAACUUUGGAAAGAGAGUUAAACAGUACGUGAAAUUGCUGAAAGGGAAACGCUUGAAGUCAGUCACGUUGGCUGGAAAUCAGCCCUGCUUCUGCAUGGUGUACUUUCUGGUCUGACGGGUCAGCAUCAAUUUUGACCAUUGGAUAAAGUCUCUGGGAAUGUGGCAUCUUUGGAUGUGUUAUAGCCCUGGGUCGCAUACGGUGGUUGGGAUUGAGGAACUCAGCACGCCGCAAGGCCAGGUUUCGACCAUGUUCGUGCUUAGGAUGCUGGCAUAAUGGCUUUAAUCGACCCGUCUUGAAACACGGACCAAGGAGUCUAACAUGCCUGCGAGUGUUUGGGUGGAAAACCCAUGCGCGCAAUGAAAGUGAAAGUUGAGAUCCCUUCAGGGAGCAUUGACGCCUGGACCAGACCUUUUGUGACGGAUCCACGGUAGAGCAUGCAUGUUGGGACCCGAAAGAUGGUGAACUAUGCCUGAAUAGGGUGAAGCCAGAGGAAACUCUGGUGGAGGCUCGUAGCGAUUCUGACGUGCAAAUCGAUCGUCAAAUUUGGGUAUAGGGGCGAAAGACUAAUCGAACCAUCUAGUAGCUGGUUCCUGC
RNAcentral lists this ribosomal RNA (938 nucleotides) under Inocybe farinosipes. RNAcentral's name for it is "LSU rRNA". It matches the Rfam family "Eukaryotic large subunit ribosomal RNA", at positions 34 to 961 of the family's 3401-position model. The record is from RNAcentral. Lineage: Eukaryota; Fungi; Basidiomycota; Agaricomycetes; Agaricales; Inocybaceae.